AUGCACGCUGGCGGCGUGCCUAAUCCCUGCAAGUCGCGCGAACAGACGAGGAGCUUGCUCCUCUGACGUUAGCGGCGGACGGGUGAGUAACACGUGGAUAACCUACCUAUAAGACUGGGAUAACUUCGGGAAACCGGAGCUAAUACCGGAUAACAUGUUGAACCGCAUGGUUCAACAGUGAAAGACGGUCUUGCUGUCACUUAUAGAUGGAUCCGCGCCGCAUUAGCUAGUUGGUAAGGUAACGGCUUACCAAGGCAACGAUGCGUAGCCGACCUGAGAGGGUGAUCGGCCACACUGGAACUGAGACACGGUCCAGACUCCUACGGGAGGCAGCAGUAGGGAAUCUUCCGCAAUGGGCGAAAGCCUGACGGAGCAACGCCGCGUGAGUGAAGAAGGUCUUCGGAUCGUAAAACUCUGUUAUUAGGGAAGAACAAAUGUGUAAGUAACUAUGCACGUCUUGACGGUACCUAAUCAGAAAGCCACGGCUAACUACGUG
This 496-nucleotide ribosomal RNA is filed under the name uncultured bacterium. Its description in RNAcentral is "partial 16S ribosomal RNA". It matches the Rfam family "Bacterial small subunit ribosomal RNA", at positions 29 to 507 of the family's 1533-position model. The record is from RNAcentral.